RNAcentral lists this ribosomal RNA (449 nucleotides) under uncultured bacterium. RNAcentral describes it as "partial 16S ribosomal RNA". It matches the Rfam family "Bacterial small subunit ribosomal RNA", at positions 29 to 523 of the family's 1533-position model. The record is from RNAcentral.
AACGAACGCUGGCGACAUGCCUAACACAUGCAAGUCGAACGAGAUCUUCGGGUCUAGUGGCGCACGGGUGCGUAACGCGUGGGAAUCUGCCCUUUGGUUCGGAAUAACAGUUGGAAACGACUGCUAAUACCGGAUGAUGACGAAAGUCCAAAGAUUUAUCGCCAGAGGAUGAGCCCGCGUAGGAUUAGCUAGUUGGUGUGGUAAAGGCGCACCAAGGCGACGAUCCUUAGCUGGUCUGAGAGGAUGAUCAGCCACACUGGGACUGAGACACGGCCCAGACUCCGACGGGAGGAAGCAGUGGGGAAUAUUGGACAAGGGGCGAAGGCCUGAUCCAGCAAUGCCGCGGGAGUGAUAAAGGCCUUAGGGUUGAAAAGCUCUUUUCCCCGGGAUGAUAAUGACAGUCCCGGAAGAACAAGCUCCGGCUAACCCCGUGCCAGCCGCCGCGGUAA